RNAcentral lists this ribosomal RNA (395 nucleotides) under uncultured bacterium. RNAcentral's name for it is "partial 16S ribosomal RNA". It matches the Rfam family "Bacterial small subunit ribosomal RNA", at positions 523 to 916 of the family's 1533-position model. The record is from RNAcentral.
AUACGUAGGGGGCGAGCGUUGUCCGGAAUGACUGGGCGUAAAGGGCGCGUAGGCGGUCAGAUAAGUUAGGAGUGAAAUCCCAGCGUUCAAGGGUGGAACUGCUUUUAAUACUGUUUGACUUGAGUGCGGAAGAGGUAGGUGGAAUUCCCAGUGUAGCGGUGAAAUGCGUAGAGAUUGGGAGGAACACCAGUGGCGAAGGCGACUUACUGGGCCGUAACUGACGCUGAGGCGCGAAAGCGUGGGGAGCGAACAGGAUUAGAUACCCUGGUAGUCCACGCGGUAAACGAUGAAUGCUAGGUGUAGGGGGUAUCGACCCCUCCUGUGCCGGAGUAAACGCAAUAAGCAUGCCGCCUGGGGAGUACGGCCGCAAGGUUAAAACUCAAAUGAAUUGACGG